CUUCCCCCAUGUGUCUACCACUGACAUAUUGUGCUUGGUUGUUUUUACCAUUCCAGUUUUGUUCCCCAGGAAUAACAAGGCAUGGAGCCUAACUGCAUCAAGGUAUUCCAGCGAGGGCUGUGGAAACCACCAGAGAAACACUUCUGUCCACACGCAUGCUCUGGGCAAAGGUUGGUUGUAUAACUACUGCCAGUGAAGCCUGGGGACUGAAGAAAUUGAAGAAGAAUGUAGAGAUUGGCUGAGGUCUAUGGACCCACCAGGCUACAACCUCAUCUCCCUGCCUUCCACCUCUGCUUGUACUUUUAGUAUUCCACUUUCCCCUUUCAUACUGCAUAUCACCUCCCCUACCUCCUCACCUCUUCUUUUAAAGUACUUUUAUUUACUUCUAUAGUUCACGGUCUCUAGGCUCCUGACCCCUGUCUAAACUCCCACAUAAAUACUCAUACACAAAAUUUAGAAGCUGGGAUCUACUCAUGACAGAGAAUGUCCCCCGCCCCCCAUUCCACUUAUUUUCCUAUCUUAUUAUACGACUGGAUAAAAUCUAUAGUGUUUACAUACAAUAUUUUCAUGAUUUAUUCAUCAGUUUGUGGACAUCAGGUUGAUAUUACUUCUUAAGUUUUGUGUCUAGAACAUCAAUAAACAUGAAUGUAUAAG
Long non-coding RNA from Mus musculus (house mouse), 654 nucleotides. RefSeq annotates it as predicted gene, 46961. NCBI's taxonomy places the organism in Eukaryota, Metazoa, Chordata, Mammalia, Rodentia, Muridae. The record is from RefSeq and is a predicted model, not a curated record. The transcript has 2 exons.